Molecule: ribosomal RNA, 250 nt
Filed under: uncultured bacterium
Lineage: Bacteria
Description: partial 16S ribosomal RNA
Rfam family: Bacterial small subunit ribosomal RNA
Source: RNAcentral
GACGAAGGACCCGAGCGUUAUCCGGAUUCAUUGGGUUUAAAGGGUGCGUAGGUGGAUUGGUAAGUCAGUGGUGAAAGCCCCAGGCUCAACUUGGGAACUGCCAUUGAUACUGCCGAUCUUGAGUGCACAUGAUGUGGGCGGAAUAUGACAUGUAGUGGUGAAAUACUUAGAUAUGUCAUAGAACACCGAUUGCGAAGGCAGCUCACAAAAUUGCUACUGACACUGAGGCACGAAAGCGUGGGGAUCAAAC